This 1027-nucleotide long non-coding RNA is filed under the name Ovis aries (sheep). RNAcentral describes it as "lncRNA (ENSOARG00000026928.1)". Lineage: Eukaryota; Metazoa; Chordata; Mammalia; Artiodactyla; Bovidae. The record is from RNAcentral.
ACCCCACCACGUCCCCCACAGACUAUGGACUCCAGUGGUGAUGCUGUCCCAGACAAGCAACAGUGUCAGGACGGAGGAUGCAGGGUCCCAUCAGUGUAGGGUCUCCUCCCAGUCAGAGUCUGCAGAUGAGACCCCCACCUCCCCAGCUGAGCACUAGAGUGACCGUCAACACCUUUGCAUCUUCCCUUGUAACUUCACUGGAAGUGGGUGCGUAACGAAUGCAAGUAACGAGGACGUGGGUAGUCUCCUUUCGGAGCCUGUAUAACAAUGCUUAAUUAAUUAUGCAAAACUUAGCUAAUUUUGUCAUAGUUUGGUUAUUGUUUGUGAGAACUGUUUGAUUUAGCUAAGAGCCGACAAUUGUGCUGGAAACAAAAAAUCACAGGGAGGGGGCAUACUGUGAGAAUAAAAGAGUCCUUCAGAGGAAAAUGAACAGAUGGAAAUGGCUAUAGUGAGAGAAUGGAGAGUGAGAGCAAGUCCAGGGUUUCAAAUCUGAUUAAGAGGAAAAUGAUGCAACCACGUGUGGUGGAGGUGUCAGGAGGACACCGUGGUGACAAAGCAGACCGCCACACGGGGCUCAGAGCAUUUCCUCCUCCUAACCAGGCCCUCCCGGAAGACUCCUCUGGGUGUUACCUCCAGGGAACUCAGACCCCAUUUCCCUUCUCUCUUUCUCUUCUGCUUUCAGGGCAAGAAAACAGCCGAGCCCUCGGAGUGGGAGCCAUUACUGGCAUCGUGAUUGGGGUCCUGCUUGUGCUGACGCCGCUGGCUGUCCUGGGGUAUUUCAUUUUCCUUCACAGGUUUUUCUUCCCUAACCCCGGCUGCCUGCACAACAGAGGGAAGUGGCCCCCAGCAUCCACCUCAGGUGAGUGUCUGUUCAGCCCAGCACAGCGGGGUGCCCCGGGCAGGCCCUGCCCUGUCUGUUCCUGCCUGCCUCCCCCAGGGUCUCUGGCCCUUUCUCUGGGGCUUCAGCACAGGGGCCCCAACUGGCUAGUCUGCUUGUCCUGUGGCUUAUAAUCCUGGGAGGCUCCCU